This 467-nucleotide ribosomal RNA is filed under the name uncultured bacterium. RNAcentral's name for it is "partial 16S ribosomal RNA". It matches the Rfam family "Bacterial small subunit ribosomal RNA", at positions 28 to 507 of the family's 1533-position model. The record is from RNAcentral.
GAUGAACGCUGGCGGCGUGCUUAACACAUGCAAGUCGAACGGAAAGGCCCAAGCUUGCUUGGGUACUCGAGUGGCGAACGGGUGAGUAACACGUGGGUGAUCUGCCCCGCACUUCGGGAUAAGCCUGGGAAACUGGGUCUAAUACCGGAUAGGACAGUGGUUUGGAUGCCAUUGUGGAAAGUUUUUUCGGUGUGGGAUGAGCUCGCGGCCUAUCAGCUUGUUGGUGGGGUAAUGGCCUACCAAGGCGUCGACGGGUAGCCGGCCUGAGAGGGUGUACGGCCACAUUGGGACUGAGAUACGGGCCAGACUCCUACGGGAGGCAGCAGGGGGGAAUAUUGCACAAUGGGCGCAAGCCUGAUGCAGCGACGCCGCGGGGGGGAUGACGGGCUUCGGGUUGGAAACUCCUUUCGCUAGGGACGAAGCGUUAUGUGACGGUACCUAGAGAAGAAGCACCGGCUAACUACGUG